Molecule: long non-coding RNA, 373 nt
Filed under: Brassica rapa (field mustard)
Lineage: Eukaryota; Viridiplantae; Streptophyta; Magnoliopsida; Brassicales; Brassicaceae
Description: long non-coding RNA (BRAP_LNC006328)
Source: RNAcentral
CUUAUUUGGAAUUUGUUAAUUUGAGUUGCUUAAGAUAUUAAAAUGGUACCAAGGGUACAAACAAAAAAGUAUAUCAACAAGGAAACAAACAAUCCUCUGAAGCUGUGAAGCUUUUACCCUUUUUUUUUCUGCUUAAAGAAAUAAAACAAAUAUGUCGACGAGUCUGUUACUUGUCUAUCAAAACUAUUUUUGUUUUCAGUCAAUAGUCGAACAUAUUUACGAAGAAAUAUAAAUGUAUAAUCUGUGAAUCGCUGUGUCAAACAUUUAACUUAAUACAGUACAUAUAUAUUAACCGAUAUUAAAAAUGCAAAGUGGUGUGAAUGUUGUAGUUUAUUCUUUGUCGAGAUCGAUGAUAUUUCACUAUGAAUCUAAG